CCAAUAGCGUAUAUUAAAGUUGUUGCAGUUAAAAAGCUCGUAGUUGAAUUUCGGGAUCAGUACGCUGGUCAUGCCUUUGGUAUGCACUGGUGUCACUGGUUUCUCCCUUCUGAAGAUCCGUGAUGUCAUUAAUUUGGUGUCGCGGGGAAUCAGGACUGUUACUUUGAAAAAAUUAGAGUGUUUAAAGCAGGCUCACGCUU
This 200-nucleotide ribosomal RNA is filed under the name uncultured Glomus. RNAcentral describes it as "partial small subunit ribosomal RNA". It matches the Rfam family "Eukaryotic small subunit ribosomal RNA", at positions 591 to 796 of the family's 1831-position model. The record is from RNAcentral. Lineage: Eukaryota; Fungi; Glomeromycota; Glomeromycetes; Glomerales; Glomeraceae.